UUUCACAUCCUGCCUGCCUAUAAGAAGAGUAAUAGUGCAUAUCCCUAUCCCUAUAUAAAAGGCAUGCUAAAAUGGGAGCACCUUUUUUCACGGCUGCUGAUUUUCCUCAUAACCAGAAACUAUUCACCUUUCAAACCAUGAAAAGAAUCCGUUUUAACAGUUUUCGGCUUCACGAAAAAUCCUUUGUUCAAAAAAUCUACAACCGAAACUCGCUUUAAAAACACCACGGAGCGUUUUAUUUUGACUGCAGUUAAAAAUGAGGUCAGUGUACGCCUCAGUUGUGAAAAAGUUUUCUUUUACAAUGCAUGUUUUUAUCUGAAAAUAUGCAUAUUUUAAAAAGCCAUUAUUUAUGUGACAUACAUCUGGAUGUUUACAUAUUCUUUUUUAAGAAUUAAAUAUACGAUAGCCGUUUAUUUCUGAAAGUCAUGAAUUAUUUGAACAUAAAAGAAGGUUAUCAUGGAAAACGAAAAAAGCAUGCUCUGAACAUUUUAAGCGUCAUCUGACAAAUCAAAUACGUCUGCAAAAUAGAUUUUGGUUUUAUCUAGAGAAUCUCGGGCGCUUCUGAGCCAAGUAUUAACUCGGUUAUUCCAACAAAUCCUUCAUUUUCAACCUCAUUGAAGGUCGAAUCCUUAUCAGACCAGGUUCAACUUCGACGCUAUAAAUGGAUGCCUCAAGUUUAGUCCACUGGUGGUACACAUUUAGUUUAUUUGCGAUGGGCGCCGAGCGUUUUAUCUCUUUUGUGAGCCGCCUCGAGUUACACGAACUUUAAUAACACGAUACGAGAACAAUCCACAUAUUUUAUCAUCGCUGAUGAUACCCCAACUCUUUCUUCUUUCACCUAUUAUACCGAUUUAUAAAUUAUUAACCAAUAAAUAACUAUUAUAACUAUAAAAAUUUGUUCAGUUGACAAUUAAUACUCUUGAAACCAUGAAUGAAACCAGAACCCAAUAGCAUAUUCCUUCAAUCCUCAAAUGUAUGUAAAACAAAGAGAACUAUUGCCAAUAUUCUUACCAACGUACGUCAUUUCCAUCGACUUAAAUUUAUAACCAAGUGUUUUAUUUUACAAUUUUCUAGCCUUGUACCAACGCAACACUGCUGUCUUUUAUUUAUAACCGUCAGACCUAAACCAUAACUUGAAGUGAAUUUGAAAUGCGGAACUCAAUUGCAAUCUGCUGCUAGCCGCAUUUAAGAUGACACUUAAAUCAUACUAGAAACUGGGCUUCAAGUAUUUCAUUCAGCUUCAUAGUUGUUUAUGCAACGAUCUACAGAAGUUGCGGGAACCUCGACAGGAGCCGUGGAUAUUGUAUUGGACCAAACCGAAGCCUAAAGUUGAAUCCAGUACACCAAGACGACAUCUAUACAAACUUUCCAGAAGUUUUGCACUACAUCCAACAAGCAACAGGCCAGAAUUAACCAAGUGUGAUCCGAAAAGAUCUUCUUGAAAACCUACAAUCAUCUUUUGUCAUCUCUUGAAGCUACAAGCUUUGUCGAACAUUUGCCUGUCCAAAAAUGAUUUCAAACUGCAACUUGCGGCACCAAAACUGCCUCAACAUUCUGCUUCUUUUCACAUCGGCUACGGGGAUUUCUCUGAGUGCCUUUUUGAAACGAGUGAGUGGAUUGGGAGGGUUUGAAGUUAAUUUUGCCCUCGUUCAAUUGCUACCUUUAACCCUGGCGUUGUUCACCCUUUAUCCAAGCGCCGACAAACCCAUCAUCAAAAACUCUCAGACCAAAAUUUCUACCACCAGAUACAAAAUAAUCUCCAAAAUAUACCCAGUUUUAAACGGCCUUGUAGUUCGAGGCGUGAAUACAAUUACAUAUUAUGAAGCACUUAAUAAUAUUCACUCGGGCGAUGUUCUUCUGAUAUCAACCUUUAUUAGUUUGCUGGGCUCAGUUUGCGCAGAAUUGUUGAUAUUCCAGAAAAAGCCGAAACUAUGUACAGUUAUUUCCGGUUCUGUUGGAAUUAUCGGGAUUGCUUUCAUCGCUCGUCCUGACUUUUUAUUCGGAAAUUCUUCAGCCUCGGGAAACAGAAUUUGGGGUAUUUUCAUGACUUUAGUCACUGGAAGCAGCAGUUUUCUUUACUACGCCACGGUUAAAAAGUGCUCGGAAGUUUCGAUAUUCUGGCAUUUCUUCUCGGCAGCUCUCGGGACUGCAGCUUCAUCAUCGAUUUUAUUCUACCUCAACUCGGAUUUUGUCGUGUCGCACUGCGAAGAGUCGUUGCGAUUUGUCGCGCUAGUUUCGGCUUUGCUUUGGGCAAUGAGUGCCAUGCUAACUUUGUUCACAGUCGGGAUGACUAUGCCCUCCAUAGUUUAUAUAUCCCGAUUCUGGACCAUACUUCUGUGCUAUAUUCUGGAGGUGCUGUUUCUACCCACUGAAGUCACGUGGACAAUGUUAACCGGGUCGGCUUUUGUGAUUGUCGCUCUGAUAUUGCAAAUGAGAACCAUGAGCAACACCAGAUGAUCCAGUUUUGAACUUUUGAAGCUGAUUUUCAAAAUAAGUUUCGAAGAUCUUUCGCUUUUGAUAAGCCAACAACAAACUUAAUGGAAACAAUCCAAGAAAAUCAUGAUCAUCUAGAAAAGCAAUUAGAGGUUUGUCCAAAUUGCGAAAUUCUCUUCGAAUCUGAAACACGUGUCAUAAUUUUGUAUUUUUUAGUUAAAGCCUAAAUUAAAAAACCAACUGUAUAAUUGAUAUUACUCAUUUU
Symsagittifera roscoffensis is the source of this 2698-nucleotide long non-coding RNA. RefSeq lists it as uncharacterized. The record is from RefSeq and is a predicted model, not a curated record. NCBI's taxonomy places the organism in Eukaryota, Metazoa, Xenacoelomorpha, Acoela, Convolutidae. The transcript has 3 exons.